GAUGAACGCUGGCGGUCUGCUUAACACAUGCAAGUCGAACGGAAUCCUUCGGGAUUUAGUGGCGGACGGGUGAGUAACGCGUGAGAAUCUGCCUUCAGGUUCGGGACAACAGCUGGAAACGGCUGCUAAUACCGGAUGUGCCGAGAGGUGAAAGCUUUAGUGCCUGAAGAUGAGCUCGCGUCUGAUUAGCUAGUAGGAGUGGUAAUGGCACCCCUAGGCGACGAUCAGUAGCUGGUCUGAGAGGAUGAUCAGCCACACUGGGACUGAGACACGGCCCAGACUCCUACGGGAGGCAGCAGUGGGGAAUUUUCCGCAGUGGGGGGAAGCCUGACGGAGCAAGACCGCGUGAGGGAAGAAGGUCUGUGGAUUGUAAACCUCUUUAGAUGGGGAAGAAGACAGUGACGGUACCCAUCGAAUCAGCCUCGGCUAACUCCGUGCCAGCCGCCGCCGUAA
This 453-nucleotide ribosomal RNA is filed under the name uncultured bacterium. RNAcentral's name for it is "partial 16S ribosomal RNA". It matches the Rfam family "Bacterial small subunit ribosomal RNA", at positions 28 to 523 of the family's 1533-position model. The record is from RNAcentral.